RNAcentral lists this ribosomal RNA (257 nucleotides) under uncultured bacterium. Its description in RNAcentral is "partial 16S ribosomal RNA". It matches the Rfam family "Bacterial small subunit ribosomal RNA", at positions 524 to 776 of the family's 1533-position model. The record is from RNAcentral.
UACGUAGGGCGCAAGCGUUAUCCGGAAUUAUUGGGCGUAAAGAGCUCGUAGGCGGUUUGUCGCGUCUGCCGUGAAAGUCCGGGGCUCAACUCCGGAUCUGCGGUGGGUACGGGCAGACUAGAGUGCGGUAGGGGGAGACUGGAAUUCCUGGUGUAGCGGUGAAAUGCGCAGAUAUCAGGAGGAACACCGGUGGCGAAGGCGGGUCUCUGGGCCGUAACUGACGCUGGAGGAGCGAAAAGCCGUGGGGAGCGAACAGG